This 588-nucleotide ribosomal RNA is filed under the name uncultured bacterium. Its description in RNAcentral is "partial 16S ribosomal RNA". It matches the Rfam family "Bacterial small subunit ribosomal RNA", at positions 355 to 937 of the family's 1533-position model. The record is from RNAcentral.
UGGGGAAUUUUGGACAAUGGGCGAAAGCCUGAUCCAGCAAUGCCGCGUGUGUGAAGAAGGCCUUCGGGUUGUAAAGCACUUUUGUCCGGAAAGAAAUCCUUGGCUCUAAUACAGUCGGGGGAUGACGGUACCGGAAGAAUAAGCACCGGCUAACUACGUGCCAGCAGCCGCGGUAAUACGUAGGGUGCAAGCGUUAAUCGGAAUUACUGGGCGUAAAGCGUGCGCAGGCGGUUUGCUAAGACCGAUGUGAAAUCCCCGGGCUCAACCUGGGAACUGCAUUGGUGACUGGCAGGCUAGAGUAUGGCAGAGGGGGGUAGAAUUCCACGUGUAGCAGUGAAAUGCGUAGAGAUGUGGAGGAAUACCGAUGGCGAAGGCAGCCCCCUGGGCCAAAUACUGACGCUCAUGCACGAAAGCGUGGGGGAGCAAAACAGGAUUAGAUACCCUGGUAGUCCACGCCCUAAACGAUGUCAACUAGUUGUUGGGGACUUCAUUUCCUUAGUAACGUAGCUAACGCGUGAAGUUGACCGCCUGGGGAGUACGGUCGCAAGAUUAAAACUCAAAUGAAUUGACGGGGUCAUAGCUGUUUCC